RNAcentral lists this ribosomal RNA (497 nucleotides) under uncultured bacterium. RNAcentral describes it as "partial 16S ribosomal RNA". It matches the Rfam family "Bacterial small subunit ribosomal RNA", at positions 28 to 507 of the family's 1533-position model. The record is from RNAcentral.
GAUGAACGCUGGCGGCGUGCCUAAUACAUGCAAGACGAGCGAACGGACGAGAAGCUUGCUUCUCUGAUGUUAGCGGCGGACGGGUGAGUAACACGUGGAUAACCUACCUAUAAGACUGGGAUAACUUCGGGAAACCGGAGCUAAUACCGGAUGAUAUUUUGAACCGCAUGGUUCAAAAGUGAAAGACGGUCUUGCUGUCACUUAUAGAUGGAUCCGCGCUGCAUUAGCUAGUUGGUAAGGUAACGGCUUACCAAGGCAACGAUGCAUAGCCGACCUGAGAGGGUGAUCGGCCACACUGGAACUGAGACACGGUCCAGACUCCUACGGGAGGCAGCAGUAGGGAAUCUUCCGCAAUGGGCGAAAGCCUGACGGAGCAACGCCGCGUGAGUGAUGAAGGUCUUCGGAUCGUAAAACUCUGUUAUUAGGGAAGAACAUAUGUGUAAGUAACUGUGCACAUCUUGACGGUACCUAAUCAGAAAGCCACGGCUAACUACGUG